Molecule: long non-coding RNA, 221 nt
Filed under: Lathyrus oleraceus (garden pea)
Lineage: Eukaryota; Viridiplantae; Streptophyta; Magnoliopsida; Fabales; Fabaceae
Description: Pisum sativum (pea) long non-coding RNA (PSAT_LNC023141)
Source: RNAcentral
UUAUUAUCAUCAUGAAUUUCAACUUCCAAGAAUAAUGAACAGUAAUCCCUGUACCCUUUUCACAAAAAAACUACCACGUGGCCCACUACCUUUGGAAGGUGUAACCAAUCAGCUUCGUAGGUUAAUACUAUAAAAGCUCAUUGUCACUUCUUUCUUCCCUUUUUACGAAAAUCUUCAUCUUCAACCUGAGUUCAUCUCUAAAAAUUCUCUGAAAAUGUUUC